GGGGAUGCUAGGCAUCGACGGUUAGCCCACCCAUGUUGUGCAGUGUUGAAAAUGGCAACCAAUUCAUUAAAAGGUUCCAUCCGUAUUUGCAAACAAAGCAAUACCAAGUCCUUACGCUAACGCGUUCGGAUUCGCUCCCGCUCUCGCCUAACCGCGACUUUGCCGGAACGAUGCGACAGUGUUAAACGCCUCAUACGGCACUGUUCGUAGAAUAGCCACGGGGCUGUGGGAAGAUAUGUGUUGCCGUAUCUUUUCAAGCUUGUAGCAACUCGAGUAAUUAUUGUUUUGUCUUUCCUAUAGAUAAUUACUUUAAAUCAAAGGAGAAACUACACACUGUAGACUCACCAUGAGUACCUAAUUCGGACGCGGGUUCAAUUCUCGCCAUCUCCACCA
RNAcentral lists this transfer-messenger RNA (393 nucleotides) under Candidatus Kaiserbacteria bacterium CG_4_8_14_3_um_filter_38_9. It matches the Rfam family "transfer-messenger RNA". Rfam says of the family: Bacterial tmRNA, also known as 10Sa RNA or SsrA, is named for its dual tRNA and mRNA-like properties. Its role is to liberate the mRNA from a stalled ribosome. Lineage: Bacteria; Candidatus Kaiseribacteriota. The record is from RNAcentral.